Molecule: non-coding RNA, 72 nt
Organism: Phthorimaea operculella (potato tuberworm)
Lineage: Eukaryota; Metazoa; Arthropoda; Insecta; Lepidoptera; Gelechiidae
Source: the annotation of a GenBank genome assembly
GCAUCGGUAACUCAGUGGUAGAGCGGUGCGGCUUUGACCCAUGCGGCCCGGGAUCGAGCCCUGGUCGAUGCA